This 75-nucleotide transfer RNA is filed under the name Candidatus Jacksonbacteria bacterium RIFCSPHIGHO2_02_FULL_44_25. Its description in RNAcentral is "tRNA-Gly". It matches the Rfam family "tRNA". From Rfam's summary of the family: Transfer RNA (tRNA) molecules are approximately 80 nucleotides in length. Their secondary structure includes four short double-helical elements and three loops (D, anti-codon, and T loops). RNAcentral also lists the same sequence under 3 other names. The record is from RNAcentral. Lineage: Bacteria; Candidatus Jacksoniibacteriota.
GCGGGUGUAGUUCAGUGGUAGAAUGUCUGCUUCCCAAGCAGAAGAUCGCCGGUUCGAUCCCGGUCACCCGCUCCA